RNAcentral lists this small RNA (125 nucleotides) under Marmota monax (woodchuck). The record is from RNAcentral. Lineage: Eukaryota; Metazoa; Chordata; Mammalia; Rodentia; Sciuridae.
GCUGGGCAUGGAGUGCAUGCCUGUAAUCCUAGCAGCUUGGGAGGCUGAGGCAGGAAGAUCUCAAGUUCAAAGCCAGCUUCAGCGAUUUAUUGAGGCCUAAGCAACUUAGUGAGACCCUGUCUUGA